This is a long non-coding RNA of Mustela lutreola (European mink), 298 nucleotides long. RefSeq lists it as uncharacterized. Lineage: Eukaryota; Metazoa; Chordata; Mammalia; Carnivora; Mustelidae. The transcript is spliced from 2 exons. The record is from RefSeq and is a predicted model, not a curated record.
UGUCCUCAGGCCCGGUUCGUUUGCGGGCCAUCCUUUAUACUUCUCUCAUCAGUUCUUUAACGGGGCAGGAGCUGGGUCUCUGUUAGCCUGUUUGUUUAUCUGGAAAGUGGGGGUAUUCCUUAUACUACCCUCAUUGUAGUACUAGCAAGCUACAGGAUCUGUAAGGCAAAGAGGGCCUAGUAAAAGCCUUCCCCAAAUGCACUGCUGUGUGAGAGCAGGAGCUGUCUAUUUUAUUCCCAUGACUGGAGGAGCACCAGGCCCAGAGUAGGCACCCAAUAAAUGUAAGCAAUUAUUGGAA